Molecule: ribosomal RNA, 441 nt
Filed under: uncultured bacterium
Lineage: Bacteria
Description: partial 16S ribosomal RNA
Rfam family: Bacterial small subunit ribosomal RNA
Source: RNAcentral
CCUACGGGAGGCAGCAGUGGGGGAUAUUGCACAAUGGGGGAAACCCUGAUGCAGCGACGCCGCGUGGGUGAAGAAGUAUUUCGGUAUGUAAAGCCCUAUCAGCAGGGAAGAAAGAAGACGGUACCUGACUAAGAAGCCCCGGCUAACUACGUGCCAGCAGCCGCGGUAAUACGUAGGGGGCGAGCGUUAUCCGGAUUCACUGGGUGUAAAGGGAGCGUAGACGGCCGUGCAAGCCAGGAGUGAAAGCCCGGGGCCCAACCCCGAGACUGCUCUUGGAACUGUGCGGCUGGAGUGCGGGAGGGGCAGGCGGAAUUCCUGGUGUAGCGGUGAAAUGCGUAGAUAUCAGGAGGAACACCGGCGGCGAAGGCGGCCUGCUGGACCGCGACUGACGUUGAGGCUCGAAAGCGUGGGGAGCGAACAGGAUUAGAUACCCCAGUAGUC